GAAAAUGGAGCGUGAGGAGCUGCGGAGGCAAUUGGAGCAGGAGAGGAGAGAGCGUGAGGAGGAAAAAAAAGAGCGAGAGGAAGAACAGAAGCAAAUUGCACAUCUUACAAGUUUGGUAACAGAGUUCUUAAAGAGAAAGACUCAAAUGCACAAGUCAUCUAUCCAUCAUGAUGGGGCCAUGUAUUCAACUAGUGGUACAAAUACUCGUUGAUACAUGGUGGAGUUAUGAGCAUGUGAAAUCUAGUUUCUGGUACAUGGAUAGCUUUUGUUCAGAUGAUCAUGGUGGAGUUGUCUACAAGCAAAUCCAGUUUUUGGUAUAAGAAUAUUUUUGUCUACAUGAUGGUUGUUUGGAUGAAUAGCAAGAUCAGAUAUUUUGAAAUUUUUAAUUUACAUUUUGAUGUGUUUGGUGAUGAUUAUCACCUUAACAUAUGGUAUGGAUGAAACAUUUUGAUGUAUGGUUAAUAAGUAUGCUUGACUUUAGACUUAUAGAUGAUAAUAUUUAUAAUGAAUGAUUAUGGAUUCUCCAACAUUGUGUA
Molecule: non-coding RNA, 536 nt
Organism: Phoenix dactylifera (date palm)
Lineage: Eukaryota; Viridiplantae; Streptophyta; Magnoliopsida; Arecales; Arecaceae
Source: RefSeq, a predicted model, not a curated record